This 459-nucleotide ribosomal RNA is filed under the name uncultured bacterium. RNAcentral's name for it is "partial 16S ribosomal RNA". It matches the Rfam family "Bacterial small subunit ribosomal RNA", at positions 338 to 795 of the family's 1533-position model. The record is from RNAcentral.
CCUACGGGAGGCAGCAGUGAGGAAUAUUGGUCAAUGGGCGCGAGCCUGAACCAGCCAAGUCGCGUGAGGGAAGACGGUCCUAUCGGUUGUAAACCUCUUUUGUCGGGGAGCAAAAGACGCCACGCGUGGCGUUCCGAGAGUACCCUAAGAAAAAGCAUCGGCUAACUCCGUGCCAGCAGCCGCGGUAAUACGGAGGAUGCGAGCGUUAUCCGGAUUUAUUGGGUUUAAAGGGUGCGCAGGGGGAAGAUGAAGUCAGCGGUAAAAUUGAGGGGCUCAACCUCGUAGAGCCGUUGAAACUGGUUGUCUUGAGUGAGUGAGAAGUAUGCGGAAUGCGUGGUGUAGCGGUGAAAUGCAUAGAUAUCACGCAGAACUCCGAUUGCGAAGGCAGCAUACCGGCGCUCAACUGACGCUCAUGCACGAAAGUGUGGGUAUCGAACAGGAUUAGAUACCCUAGUAGUC